This 253-nucleotide ribosomal RNA is filed under the name uncultured bacterium. Its description in RNAcentral is "partial 16S ribosomal RNA". It matches the Rfam family "Bacterial small subunit ribosomal RNA", at positions 524 to 776 of the family's 1533-position model. The record is from RNAcentral.
GACAGAGGUGCCGAGCGUUAGUCGGAAUCACUGGGCUUAAAGCGUGUGUAGGCGGACUGGUAAGUACCUUGUGAAAUCCCACGGCUCAACCGUGGAACUGCUCGGUAUACUGCUUGUCUUGAGCCAACUAGGGGCAGCCGGAACAGACGGUGGAGCGGUGAAAUGCGUAGAUAUCGUCUGGAACGCCAAAGGUGAAAACAGGCUGCUGGGGUUGUGCUGACGCUGAGACACGAAAGCCAGGGGAGCAAACGGG